RNAcentral lists this ribosomal RNA (255 nucleotides) under uncultured bacterium. RNAcentral's name for it is "partial 16S ribosomal RNA". It matches the Rfam family "Bacterial small subunit ribosomal RNA", at positions 524 to 776 of the family's 1533-position model. The record is from RNAcentral.
UACAGAGGCUCCAAGCGUUAUCCGGAAUCACUGGGCGUAAAGGGUGUGUAGGCGGUCGUAUUAGUCUUUCGUAAAAGCCCGUGGGCUUAACCCAUGGAAUGCGGGGGAAACGGUACGACUAAGAGGACGCGAGAGGUAGAGGGAACUCAUGGUGUAGGGGUGAAAUCCGUUGAUAUCAUGGGGAACACCAAAUGCGAAGGCACUCUACUGGCGCGCUCCUGACGCUGAAACACGAAAGCGUAGGUAGCGAACGGG